Molecule: unclassified non-coding RNA, 106 nt
Filed under: uncultured Dioszegia
Lineage: Eukaryota; Fungi; Basidiomycota; Tremellomycetes; Tremellales; Bulleribasidiaceae
Description: sequence contains ITS1
Source: RNAcentral
AUAAAUGAGCGAAAGCUUUUAUAUUAUCCAUAACACCUGUGAACUAUUUGCCUUUGGGCACCAAUACAAACAUAAAGUAAAGAAUGUAAACUAUUAUAACAAAAUA